Molecule: long non-coding RNA, 1213 nt
Filed under: Homo sapiens (human)
Lineage: Eukaryota; Metazoa; Chordata; Mammalia; Primates; Hominidae
Description: HSALNT0113771
Source: RNAcentral
GUUUCCCUCUUGUUACCCAGGAUGGAGUGCAAUGGUGCAAUCUCAGCUCACUGCAGCCUCCGCCUCCUGGGUUAAAGCAAUUCUCCUGCCUCAGCCUCCCAAGUAGCUGGAAUUACAAGCACUCGCCACCAUGCCUGGCUAAUAUUUUGUAGUUUUAGUAGUGACGGGGUUUCACCAUGUUGGCCAGGCUGGCCUCAGGUGAUCCACCCACCUUGGCCUCCUAAAGCGCUGGGAUUAUAGGCUUGAGCCACCACGCCCAGCCUAAUGUGACUUUUAAAUUAUGGGUAAGAACUUACCAAGCCAAGAGCAGGGCAGUCCAGGCACAUGGACCAGCUGAAAACUUGCAUCACUUACAUGAAGAAUUUGUGAGCACACUGGUUUUGUGUGAAGAGAAGCGGUGCUGCAGACAGAGGCAAGGGCUAUCCCCAGAGGACCCUGGCUGCUUGGUUAGUAAGCUUGAAUUUUUCCCCAUAGGUAAUCCUAUAAGCAGAGAAAGGUUUUAUACUGAAAUUGAUGUAAUCAGAUUGCAUUUGAGAUCCGUCUCCGGCAGCUGUGUUGAGGAGGAUGGCUCUGAGGACACAGAACUGGAAACAGACACACCAUUUAGGAAGCUGCUGCAAUUGUCCAGAGAAAAGCUAAUGAUGGCUUGAACUGGGGCAAUGGUGGUUGGAUUGAGGGGAAGAGAUAUAAGGGAGCAGUGAUGAGGGGGUAAAAAGGAUCUCAUUUGAUGUGUGUGGAGAAGUGGGAAUAAGGGAAGGACCAAGGAUGGUGUUUAGGUCUUUAGCUUGACCCAAAUGGAUCUUUUGUUAACAGCUUGACUUUUGACAACAAAUGAAAAGGCAUGUGUAGGAGUAAAAGCUGGGUUAGUAGGCAAGUGAGUUUGGUUGGAACAAAAUGAAUGCAAAGGCUUGUGGGAAACCCAGGUGGGGAAGGUAGGUGUACAGAUUUGAGAAUAUUAUUAACAUGAAAGUAAAAAACAAUUAAGUGGAUCAGCAUAUACAAGGAAAAGCCUGUUAAGUAAAAAAUUCGAGUUCAUUUUUGGAAGAGCCAAAUUAUUGCUAAGAUACACAGUUAAGAAGUGCCAAAGGCAGAAAGGAUAGCUGACUCUCAGCCUGGAUCUCCCUGGGUGUGAUGGACCUUGGUAGGGUCACUCCAGACUAAGGUUCAGCUUAGCUCUUGAGACUUGGAAACUCAAUUCUGUCAGUUCUCUCAG